This is a non-coding RNA of Oryza nivara, 146 nucleotides long. The record is from Rfam. Lineage: Eukaryota; Viridiplantae; Streptophyta; Magnoliopsida; Poales; Poaceae.
ACGAGCCACAUGCAGGGAAACUUGCACGUGUGGUUCUGGCCGGGGACCCCGGUAUACUGUACUAAUAUGUGUAGGUCCCUGUAAUUCGAGUGAGAUUGUCAUGGCGCAAAAGCAGAUAUGGUCCGGUAUUCCCUUGUUCCCCGUAU